RNAcentral lists this ribosomal RNA (462 nucleotides) under uncultured bacterium. Its description in RNAcentral is "partial 16S ribosomal RNA". It matches the Rfam family "Bacterial small subunit ribosomal RNA", at positions 28 to 507 of the family's 1533-position model. The record is from RNAcentral.
GACGAACGCUGGCGGCGUGCUUAACACAUGCAAGUCGAGCGGUAAGGCCUUUCGGGGUACACGAGCGGCGAACGGGUGAGUAACACGUGGGUGAUCUGCCCUGCACUUCGGGAUAAGCCUGGGAAACUGGGUCUAAUACCGGAUAUGACCUCCUAUCGCAUGGUGGGUGGUGGAAAGAUUUAUCGGUGCAGGAUGGGCCCGCGGCCUAUCAGCUUGUUGGUGGGGUAAUGGCCUACCAAGGCGACGACGGGUAGCCGGCCUGAGAGGGUGACCGGCCACACUGGGACUGAGACACGGCCCAGACUCCUACGGGAGGCAGCAGUGGGGAAUAUUGCACAAUGGGCGAAAGCCUGAUGCAGCGACGCCGCGUGAGGGAUGACGGCCUUCGGGUUGUAAACCUCUUUCAGCAGGGACGAAGCGCAAGUGACGGUACCUGCAGAAGAAGCACCGGCUAACUACGUG